AGCUCCUGCUCGGCGCGCACACGCUCACACGCGAACGCAGGAAAGUCAGGCUAAAAGUGUCUGCUGCUGCCGCUGCCGCCCCCCACUCCGCCUCCGGGAGAGAUUGCGAAUUUCUCGGGGAUGGGGAGCAUCGCCAAUUCAUCUUUUGGAUCUGAUGCCCAGUAGAAUGCAUGGUGCAUGGUAGGCAUCAAAAUGUUUUUUAGAUAAGUGAAUAAUCUGCUUAGUGGGGCUUAUUGUACCUGAGAAAAAUCACUGUGUUUUUAAGGUGAAUUGGUAGGUAAAGUGUUAGAGCUUGAAAAGGACGGGAAAUAAUAUAAUAAAAUAACUGAUCUAAAAAUAGUGGUUUCUUGAUGACGAUCUGGAAUAACUUUAAUCUAUUAGUAAAGCUCCUGCUGUACCAGGGAAGAAUCUGCUCUUUGAAAAGUCAGUGUGUGUGUGUGUGUGCGCGUGUGCGUGCAUAUGCAUGCUCCUUCAUGUGUGUGGGUUUACCAGAGUUGGUGAGGGACAGAGAGAAGGCAAUGGGAAGGGAAUGAACAUUUGUGAGGGCCUGCCAUGUGUCAGGCCCUUGCUGAGCACAUUGCCUUGAAUGUGCUCUACCCUUCUUGAGGAUUUUUGCUGCAUCAGAGCUUGUUGAAACAUGCCCACUGAAAUGUUUAUCACACUUUGGCAGGUGGAGUAUGGAAACCAAUUACAAACUAUUUGUAAGACUGCAAAGUCAACUUCUGUUUUCUUGAGGCUGAGUAAUUUGCAGAGUUCUUUAUCACCCCUGUCUUAUCGAUGAGAACCAGCAAUAAAAGGUUGAGGUAAAUCAGGAAAAAUAUGUAUCCUUAUGGGAACUCACUUAACCUGCUCUAUUCUGAUAAAAAUAACAAUAGGUUAGCAUUUAUUGAACACUGUGGCUUUACUCACAUUAACUUGCACUCCCCACAGUUGUGUAAGGUAGGCACUGCUGUUGCCGCCAUUUUACAGGGGAGGAAAAUGAGGUACAGAGAGGAAAUGUAACAUGCUCCAGUUGUAGAUUUAGGAAGCAGUGGAUCCAGGAUUCUGAACAAAGUCCUUAAGCACCCGCCACUCUGCAUUGCAAGAGGAUCUGCUCUUGCAAUAUGUCUCUUCAAAUAUCAGCAGCAAAGGUAAGAGGAGACCUUAUAUUCUUGCCAGUUCCAUGUUGGGGGCUCUUCGUUUGAGCUUCAAUUGAUGGGAGAGGAAGAUCAUUGUCUCCUUGAGGGUGGCUUGCAGCCAUGGUGCCAGGGGCAAGGUGUGCUCUCCCUGUUGUGAUCAUGAAGAGUGAAGGUGAUUGUUCCAAUCCAGGAGGAGGCUGGCUUACAGCAAUGUAGGUAUCUGUAGGAUUCCUCUCUUUACCAUUUCUUUCUUUCUUUUUUUUAAGGUGGAAAAUAUGGUUAUUUAGCUCUGGUUGGAUCAAUCUGUUAAAUAUAUAUAUAUAUACAUUCACACACAUAUAUACAUAAUAUCUGGAGAUUCUAUGGUGAUUAUGAGCACAAAAUUACCCAGCAAUUGGAAACCUUUAAUCAUGCACUUUGAACAUUCUAGCCAAAAAUUUUUUUUGUGGCCUAAAAAACAUCAUAGGUGGAAGGAAAUGUCUGCUGUGUUUUUCCUGAGAGCUUCGGAAUCCAAUAUGCUUCAUCUACACAGUCAUUUUACAUGCAUUGGGCACACUUAAAAAUUUGGCUUGUCGCUGAAUUUUCCACUCAGAACAUUCCACGUAAGUAGAAAUAAAAGUUAACCUCUGUAAAAGCCACUGGUUAAAUCCAUCUAUAGAAGUUGGCAGCCAAAUGUAGAAAAACCACUGUACAGGCUAGAUUGUUUUUUCCUCCUGUUGUCUCUGAAGAUAUAUCUUGAGCACAAAAUAUAUUUUAUUUUUAGGAAGGAUUUGUUUACACCGUAUGGUGCCAAUGUGCUAAGGUUUAUUUGUGUCAUGGCUACUUACAAUACAGAUACUGUGGGACUUUAUCUAUACUGUAAGAACAAUACAUUUGAAGAAAAUGAGCGCACCCUGGGUGACAACUCUCCAUUAAGAUAAGCAUGCAUUAAAUCUCCUUCUAUGAAGAAUCCUCUCUCUCCUAAUGGAAGACAGUGUUGGAGACUAGCAUUGUGUGACCAUGGCAGACUUGUUUGCUGGUCUCUGUAGGGAGGUUCAUUUGCAGAUCACCCAAUAUAGAGGCUUAAUCUUGGGAAGAGGAAAAAAUGCUUUUUGAAAAACACUGGAGGAAUUGGUGUUUUCAGCCUGAUCAUAAUUCAUUGAAAUCACAAAGGGUUCUGUAUGAACCAUGUUCUUUAAAUUAAUGGAUAGUGAGAAGUCUUUCUUCACCCUUGCGAAUCCUUGUAGAAGACAUUUGCAGAGAAAUUACUGGAGCUGCUCCCCUGUGGGGAGAUUAAUGAUUUAAUAUGCAAAAGCAGACAACUCACAGUUCCUUUGCUGAAUGGCACUCUGAGCUGCACAGUCUUACAGCUUUAUUUUCACCUUAUAGCUUCUCUUCCUAAAAACUUUUGUAGAGUCAGAUAGAGUCACUAAUGCAAAACCAUAUCCUUGGUCUAGACUUGAAGACUCUGCCACAUGGAACCACCAAGCAAUUUGUGACCUAGAUCUGGUGGAAUAAAUAUCUAUGUGAAGGCAUUGAGAUUUUCCUGCUUAUCCAUGUGAAUUUUUGCUUGAUUUACCAGCAUCCAAUUUAGGCACUGGAAAAUGGUGUUAAGGGAAGAUAUAUCCUUAGGCCUCUUACCUCUUAGUUUCCAGUAAAAAUAGAAAUCCAAAAAAUAAAAAAAAAGUAUUUCCUUUAAUGACUCACCACCCAGUCUACUACGCUCAUGUGUCUUUUUACUGUCCUCUCCUUCUUCCUGCCUAGCUGAACUAUGCCCUGCACCUCCACACUCAAUCCUAAUUCCUCCUGAAGUCUCAGGAUGUCUAUAUGACUAUCAGCCCUUGUCUUCUAUAUCUUCACUUCUCUGCUCCUCCCUCCAAUGAGCAGUGAACAUACUCAAGAUUUUCACAUGUGAAAAAGAAUAAAACAUCCUCCCUACUGCAUAUUCCACUCCAGCUACCUUUAUUUCUCUUACAUGGGAGAGCCAAGUGUCUUGGAGAAGAUGUUCAACGUUUCUUAUACUUUUCCAUUUCAUUGUAGUCUACUCGCCACAGCUCCAG
RNAcentral lists this long non-coding RNA (3157 nucleotides) under Equus asinus (donkey). Its description in RNAcentral is "lncRNA (ENSEASG00005028294.1)". The record is from RNAcentral. Lineage: Eukaryota; Metazoa; Chordata; Mammalia; Perissodactyla; Equidae.